UGGGUGAAGUGGAUGAUCCUAUGCUGCCGAGAAAAGCCUCUAGUGAGUGUUGUGGCGGCCCGUACCCUAAACCGACUCAGGUGGUCAGGUAGAGAAUACCAAGGCGAUCGGGUGAACUGUGGUUAAGGAACUCGGCAAAUUGCCCCCGUAACUUCGGGAGAAGGGGGACCUCUGCUGGUGAUGGGCUUUACGUUCUGAGCUGGUGGGGGUCGCAGUGGCCAGGGGGAAGCGACUGUUUACUAAAAACACAGGUCCGUGCGAAGUCGUAAGACGAUGUAUACGGACUGACGCCUGCCCGGUGCCGGAACGUUAAGGGGACCGCUUAGCCAACGCGAGUUGGCGAAGGUGAGAACUUAAGCGCCGGUAAACGGCGGUGGUAACUAUAACCAUCCUAAGGUAGCGAAAUUCCUUGUCGGGUAAGUUCCGACCUGCACGAAUGGCGUAACGACUUCCCCGCUGUCUCAACCACAGACCCGGCGAAAUUGCACUACGAGUAAAGAUGCUCGUUUCGCGCAGCAGGACGGAAAGACCCCGGGACCUUCACUACAGCUUGACAUUGGCGUUUGGAACGUCUUGUGUAGGAUAGGUGGGAGACUGGGAAGCUGUCACGCUAGUGAUGGUGGAGUCAUUGGUGAAAUACCACUCUGGUCGUUUUGAACGUCUAACUCUGGUCCGUGAUCCGGAUCGGGGACAGUGUCUGUUGGUAGUUUAACUGGGGCGGUUGCCUCCUAAAGAGUAACGGAGGCGCCCAAAGGUUCCCUCAGCCUGGUUGGCAAUCAGGUGUUGAGUGUAAGUGCACAAGGGAGCUUGACUGUGAGACUGACAGGUCGAGCAGGAGCGAAAGCUGGGACUAGUGAUCCGGCAUCGGCGUGUGGAAGCGGUGUCGCUCAACGGCUAAAAGGUACCCCGGGGAUAACAGGCUGAUCUUCCCCAAGAGUCCAUAUCGACGGGAUGGUUUGGCACCUCGAUGUCGGCUCGUCGCAUCCUGGGGCUGGAGUAGGUCCCAAGGGUUGGGCUGUUCGCCCAUUAAAGCGGUACGCGAGCUGGGUUUAGAACGUCGCGAGACAGUUCGGUCCCUAUCCGCUGCGCGCGCAGGAGACUUGAAGGGGGCUGUCCCUAGUACGAGAGGACCGGGACGGACGAACCUCUGGUGUGCCAGUUGUACCGCCAGGUGCACGGCUGGUUGGCUACGUUCGGAAGGGAUAACCGCUGAAAGCAUCUAAGCGGGAAGCUCGCCUUGAGAUGAGGUCUCCCACCCCGUGAGGGGGUAAGGCUCCCGGUAGAUCACCGGGUUGAUAGGCCGGAGGUGGAAGCACGGUAACGUGUGGAGCUGACCGGUACUAAUAGGCCGAGGACUUGACCAA
This 1364-nucleotide ribosomal RNA is filed under the name metagenome. RNAcentral's name for it is "bacterial LSU rRNA". It matches the Rfam family "Bacterial large subunit ribosomal RNA", at positions 1582 to 2925 of the family's 2925-position model. The record is from RNAcentral.